Falco peregrinus (peregrine falcon) is the source of this 2277-nucleotide RNA transcript. It is a transcript of the gene named heat shock factor protein 5-like, with no coding region annotated. The transcript is spliced from 7 exons. NCBI's taxonomy places the organism in Eukaryota, Metazoa, Chordata, Aves, Falconiformes, Falconidae. The record is from RefSeq and is a predicted model, not a curated record.
CUGCCCCGCCUGCAGCCGCUUUCCACGGCCCGGCGCCCACCCGCGCCGUGGUUCGAGGACCUCCAGGCUGCCGCCGGGACGGCUCCGGGCUGGCGGCGGGGCCGCCCCGAGCUUCAGCCGCCCGGUCGCUCACGGAAACUACGGGGGAUGCUGGUGGCAGCGGAGCUGAGGGGUCGGCGAGGACUGCUGACUGUAGGACGGUUUCAUCAACUUUACGGUCAAGGUGUUUUCCCUCCUUACUCCUACACGGCAACCUCGUGCCGAGCCCCCAGCACUUCACCGGCACAAAGAUUAGAUCCGACUCCAGUCCCUUCCACUUGGAUCCAGCAGGGACCACUUGGGUUGCUGCCAGGGCAAGGGGCUUCCCCAGCUUUUCCAGAUAAAGGGGCUGCCUUUCCGGUACUCCAGACGCUUCCAACGGGAGCCACGUACACACUCCAGCCUGCGGCUUCUCUUCCGCCACUUCAGCAAGGGACUCAAAGCGUUGCUGCAUCCAUUGCAAAUUGUAGCAGGUCUGCAUCUUGAGUGCCGUACUCACAAGCCUGCUAUCCAACAGCCACACCACAGAGCUGUUCAGCAGCAGCCCACACAGAUCCUCUGGCUGGCUGUGCUGGUCCUGCUGCUUCAGCGUGCACCCACGACAGCUUUGUCCAGAAUCCUCCAAUGCAGUCAUCUUAUGAAGCUGAACUGAUGCCGUCUGACUGGCUAUGUAAUACAUCUGAAGAAAACAAGAAGGCAGAAGUCAGUCUUGAAGCCACGUUUCAGGUUGCCGCUGAGGUGCAUUCAUCAUGCAAAGCUGAAAAGGUGGGAGUGGCACCUGUAGAGAGCCAGAGUUCAAUCCUGGAGCUUAAUGGAAAUCAGGCACCGCCUGUUAAUAGUUACACACCUUCUUCAACUGAGGAAAGCCAGCUGGAAUGUCUCGCUCCUGUAACUUCAGACACGUCAUUUCUGGUGGCAGCAGAUGGAGCACUGGAUUUGUCUCCAUUACAGCCUUCUGGCAUUCUUUGUGCUGCCGAUACCACUCUGUCUAUAGAAACUGCUGCUGCUGCUAAAAUACUACAAGAACUUCUGACCACACAGGAAGCAGAUGAAGAACGGAGCAAAGAACCAGAUCACCGCCCAGCUGAGUUCUCCCUCAUGUUUUUUCAGGAAGAAUUGUCCAGUCCAGAGCAGGAGAAUACUAGUGUUAAAAGUGAAUCCAGGACAGCGGAGACAGAAGAGAGACAAUUCACUUCAGGAGCUGAGCCUGUGAACGAAUCUGUAGAACAGACAGAUUCAUCUGUAAAAUCAUUCUCCCAGAAAAGACACAGUUCAUACACAGGCAGCUCUCUCGAUCUCCGUCUGCCGGUGGAUGUACCUCGGAAGCGGGGGUGCUUUCUGGAGGACGAAAUAAGAGAGUGAGAAGUGGGUGACGAAUGUGCAGCAGCUGCCAGCUGGAUUCCCCUGUCAGACUCCAGCAGCAGUGGAGCUUUGCCCACAACAGCCACUUUGGAUCAUUUCAGCUGUGUUUAAAAAAAAAAAAAAAAAACAAACCAAAAAACCUCCAACAAAACACCAAAGACCACACACACAAAAGCCCAAAACAAAACAACAAAAAACCAACAACAAAACCAGCCCCACACCACUCUUAUUUUGUGCUUUCUUUUUAACUUGGUAGGGUGUUGUUUAGUAGGCCUCUUUCAUUACAUUUUCUACCUGUCAAGUUAUAAAGCACCGAGUGGUCAGAGUAAUUAAUAUGAAGUAAUUCCUUAGCUGUUUGUAUUCUUUAGAUUUGGAAAGUCUGAACUUUACAGGAACCCUUAAACACUUUCUUGAGACAUCCUUACUGGGAAGCAAAUGGGUUUUAGUGCUCUGUUAGGAAUCUGUUUCACUUAUUUAUUUAUCUAUUUAACGUUGUUGGGAGCUGCAGUAUGCUCGGCAUAGGUGGUGGUUGGUGCUCUCGCUGCCUUUGCUUGCAGUCGUACCGUGGCCCUUUACUGGGGAUCGUGUAUGAAACAAAAGCAUUGGAAAGUCGCAAGAUUCUGGGUCUGAAUGGGUCUGAGAUUUCAGGAGAGCAGCUAAAGGAAAGAUGAGCUAAUUUUCUAAGUGAUUAACCAGGAAACCUUCUUCCUUCCUGAACCAGCUCUCUGUUCCACCAGCAAGUAUCUCCGUCUGCUGGUGGACGCCCCUUGGAAGCGGGGGUGCUUUCUGGCGGUGACAGAUGUGCAGCAGCUGCCAGCUGGCUUCCCUUGUCAGACGUGUAGCGGUGUUGCAAGAAAUGGAGCUUUGGCACGGCAA